UACAUGGGGUGCAAACGUUGCUCGGAAUCAUUGGGCGUAAAGCGCGCGUAGGCGGUCGCUCAAGUCGGAUGUGAAAUCCCUCGGCUUAACUGAGGAAGUGCAUCCGAGACUGAACGGCUAGAGUACGAAAGAGGGUCGCGGAAUUCCCGGUGUAGAGGUGAAAUUCGUAGAUAUCGGGAGGAACACCGGCGGCGAAGGCGGCGACCUGGGUCGAGACUGACGCUGAGGCGCGAAAGCGUGGGGAGCAAACAGG
Molecule: ribosomal RNA, 253 nt
Filed under: uncultured bacterium
Lineage: Bacteria
Description: partial 16S ribosomal RNA
Rfam family: Bacterial small subunit ribosomal RNA
Source: RNAcentral